RNAcentral lists this ribosomal RNA (572 nucleotides) under uncultured bacterium. RNAcentral describes it as "partial 16S ribosomal RNA". It matches the Rfam family "Bacterial small subunit ribosomal RNA", at positions 355 to 919 of the family's 1533-position model. The record is from RNAcentral.
UGGGGAAUUUUGGACAAUGGGCGCAAGCCUGAUCCAGCCAUGCCGCGUGCGGGAAGAAGGCCUUCGGGUUGUAAACCGCUUUUGUCAGGGAAGAAAUCUUCUGAGUUAAUACCUCGGGAGGAUGACGGUACCUGAAGAAUAAGCACCGGCUAACUACGUGCCAGCAGCCGCGGUAAUACGUAGGGUGCAAGCGUUAAUCGGAAUUACUGGGCGUAAAGCGUGCGCAGGCGGUUUUGUAAGACAGAGGUGAAAUCCCCGGGCUCAACCUGGGAACUGCCUUUGUGACUGCAAGGCUUGAGUGCGGCAGAGGGGGGAUGGAAUUCCGCGUGUAGCAGUGAAAUGCGUAGAUAUGCGGAGGAACACCGAUGGCGAAGGCAAUCCCCUGGGCCUGCACUGACGCUCAUGCACGAAAGCGUGGGGAGCAAACAGGAUUAGAUACCCUGGUAGUCCACGCCCUAAACGAUGUCAACUGGUUGUUGGGAAGGUUCCUUCUCAGUAACGUAGCUAACGCGUGAAGUUGACCGCCUGGGGAGUACGGCCGCAAGGUUGAAACUCAAAUGAAUUGACGGGGU